Molecule: ribosomal RNA, 878 nt
Filed under: uncultured Mycoplasma sp.
Lineage: Bacteria; Bacillati; Mycoplasmatota; Mollicutes; Mycoplasmatales; Mycoplasmataceae
Description: partial 23S ribosomal RNA
Rfam family: Bacterial large subunit ribosomal RNA
Source: RNAcentral
AGCUAAGUGGAGAGGAGGUCAAAAUUCAUAAACAACUAGGAUGUUGGCUUAGAAGCAGCCACCAUCUAAGGAGUGCGUAACAGCUCACUAGUCUAGUUUUUUGGCGCCGCAAGUACAACGGGGCUAAGCUUAAUACCGAAUUUUUGGAUUCAUAAUUUAAUAAUUUUGAAUGGUAGACAAAUGUUGUAUAAGGAUUGAAGUUUUAGCGUGAGCAGAGAUGGACUUUAUACAAGUAAGAAUUCCGGCGUGAGUAACGAAUGAAAGUGAGAAUCUUUUUAGCCGAUUGAUCAAGGUUUCCGGGGCUAGGGUCGUCCUCCUCGGGUUAGUCGAUCCUAAGGCGAGGCCGAAAGGCGUAGUUGAUGGACAACAGGUUAAUAUUCCUGUACUCCCUUAAGUAUUCGAUGGGUAGACAAAAUAGGUUAAGGUAAGAGGAUUAUUGGAUUUCCUUUCAAGAAUCCGAGCAAGUCAGUGUUGAAAAUCACGCUGACAACAUUGUGAGGUUCGAGUACAAUCCUCGCUGGCGACAGCGGGGAAAGUUAUUCUUAAUCAUGUUUUCAAGAAAAUACUCUAAGAUUAUCUACUUUUGGGAAUCGUACCGAUAACGAACACACGUGAUCAAGGAGAAUAUCCUAAGGCUAGCGAGCUAACUACAGUUAAGGAACUCUGCAAAUUAACUCUGUAACUUCGGGAGAAAGAGUGCCCCCGCCAGCGGGGGUCACAGUAAAGAAUGAGGGCGGACUGUUUAACAAAAACACAGCUAUAUGCAAAAUUCAAACAUGAAGUAUAUGUGGCGACACCUGCCCGGUGCCAGAAGGUCAAAGAAGGGGGUCUUACAGCUCUUAACUUAAGCCCUGGUGAACGGCGGCCGUAACUAUAAC